ACUUAUAAGAGUAAACAAUCACUUUAUUAUACCAAUUUGGCUUAUAAAAAUAUUAUUUGAAGACAUGUCAAAUUCAAAGGCUAACAAUGUCUAUGAAAAUAAAAUACAACCUUCAAUGUACAACAUCCAUUUGGUUCUCUACCUAAAACAAGCAAAAUUAAAACAUCAACUGAAAGUAUUUUCCCAGGAAUUUAUGCAACCUUCUCAAUUUAAGUCGGAGGGUGGUUAAUAUGACAAAUACAAAUUUUAAUGCCUCCACUGAGAAG
Molecule: non-coding RNA, 266 nt
Organism: Camellia sinensis
Lineage: Eukaryota; Viridiplantae; Streptophyta; Magnoliopsida; Ericales; Theaceae
Source: RefSeq, a predicted model, not a curated record